This 1293-nucleotide long non-coding RNA is filed under the name Equus caballus (horse). RNAcentral describes it as "lncRNA (ENSECAG00000054547.1)". Lineage: Eukaryota; Metazoa; Chordata; Mammalia; Perissodactyla; Equidae. The record is from RNAcentral.
CUCCAUUCUCUUCCAGCACCCUAGCUAACCCACAGGGGAGUUCCUCACUCACUUCAAUGAGAAAACUGAAGUGGGUGGGGAAGCAAAGAGUUGUCACCUUUCUGUAUCUGCUCUGAUUUGUCAAUUACACCCUUCCAGUCCUCAUUUCUCCCAUCUAAUCAUUUACCCAGGCCUGGAAAAUUUGCCUUUAAUAUUUCUGGAAUGUACCCAUUGCUUCCAACCCCCUCAUCAAGGCCACAGAUAUGAAAGGAGAGAGGUACCAGAUGUGGGCAGAGGUUAGUUGUGUCUAGGGAAUGCAAAGUGUUUCAGUACAUCUGGCACACAGGACCACUCAUGGUAGAAGCUGUGUCUACAUGUCCGGCUGUAUUGCUUGCUAGCCCCCUCACCCUGUGCACACAGUUAGCCACCUGUGGCCACCUGCUGGCAUUGCUCUUCUCUACCAGGCCUGCCAUGGCCUCAGGUGCCCUUAGACUUGUGUGCUCUCUGCCUGGAGUCCUUAUCGUCAGCUCCUUAAAUUCUAUUCUUCCUUCAGGACUCAGCUCAGAUGUUACCCGCUCUGAGAAGUCUUUUCUGACUCUCACAGGCCAUCUUAGGUGCUACCUCUAAGUCCCUUCACCUUUACCACGAUUCAUUAAGAGCAGGAUCUUGUCUUCUCCAUUCCUGGGACUCCUACCGCUAUGUACAGUGCCUACCAUGACAUAGGGAUUCAAUGCAUCGUUCAUUAAGAAGUAAGUAGACGUGUAGUCAUAAGUCCCAGCUCUGCUGCUCCCUAGCUGUGUGAACUUGAGACAUUCACCUAGUCUUUCUGAAAUUUAGGGUUUGCAUUUUUAAGAGAAAUUUCUAAAUAGUACCAUUUGUUUUCCAUCUCCAUCUCUAAUGACCUAACAAAAACCGUGCAUAGAAAACAUCAGCUCAAAGGUGGGCUCCUUGAUGAGGUAACUGGAGAGCUUUGCUGAGUAAGGUGGUGGAAUUAAAUUUUUUGAAGAAUUCUUCUUCCCUCUUGGGUUAGAUUUGCAAGAUUAUGCAUCAUGAUUGGAAGACAGAGUAGGUCUUUGUCUUGCCAGAGAUCAUUUUUACAGUGUAAGACUUGAACGUGAUCUUAACUAAGUGCUCAUCAGUCCAGUGAACCCAUCUCAUUGUAGAGGUAGAGAAACAGAAGUCUCUGGAUCUGAAAGUUUUAUAAAUGUUUUUGUAGAAUCUCAUACAAAAUGUACUAUUACCAGCUAUAAACCAAAAAGGCAGGCUCUUUAGCAGCGGGGAAAAUACUACCUUUGUAGUUUGCAGUGUUUGACA